This 685-nucleotide ribosomal RNA is filed under the name Bhargavaea cecembensis. Its description in RNAcentral is "bacterial SSU rRNA". It matches the Rfam family "Bacterial small subunit ribosomal RNA", at positions 70 to 741 of the family's 1533-position model. Lineage: Bacteria; Bacillati; Bacillota; Bacilli; Caryophanales; Caryophanaceae. The record is from RNAcentral.
GAAGGGGAGCUUGCUCCCCGGAUUCAGCGGCGGACGGGUGAGUAACACGUGGGCAACCUGCCUGUAAGAUCGGGAUAACUCCGGGAAACCGGGGCUAAUACCGGAUGGGUCCUUCCUCCGCAUGGAGGAAGGCGGAAAGACGGUUUCGGCUGUCACUUACAGAUGGGCCCGCGGCGCAUUAGCUAGUUGGUGGGGUAACGGCCUACCAAGGCGACGAUGCGUAGCCGACCUGAGAGGGUGAUCGGCCACACUGGGACUGAGACACGGCCCAGACUCCUACGGGAGGCAGCAGUAGGGAAUCUUCCGCAAUGGACGAAAGUCUGACGGAGCAACGCCGCGUGAGCGAAGAAGGCCUUCGGGUCGUAAAGCUCUGUUGUAAGGGAAGAACAAGCGCCGGUUAACUGCCGGUGCCCUGACGGUACCUUACCAGAAAGCCACGGCUAACUACGUGCCAGCAGCCGCGGUAAUACGUAGGUGGCAAGCGUUGUCCGGAAUUAUUGGGCGUAAAGCGCGCGCAGGCGGUUUCUUAAGUCUGAUGUGAAAGCCCACGGCUCAACCGUGGAGGGUCAUUGGAAACUGGGAGACUUGAGUGCAGAAGAGGAAAGCGGAAUUCCACGUGUAGCGGUGAAAUGCGUAGAGAUGUGGAGGAACACCAGUGGCGAAGGCGGCUUUCUGGUCUGUAACU